UUUGUAUCAAAGACAAAAUGGUCAAACUGCAGCAUAUGAACAAAAACUUUACACGUGGAUUGUGUAUAGCUUCAAAAUUGACAAAAUUAGGUUAUAUGACACUAAGAAGCAUUGUGUUUUGAAAUGACUGAAUUACCAAAACAUUUUAUCCUUUUUAAAUGCAUUUUUCUCAUUAGUUUCAUCAACAUAGAACCUGAAUUAUUGAAAUGCAAUGUGAUCAAAAUGUGUGUCAUUUUUUUUAUAUUGUAAAGAGACUUUGUGGAUACUCCAUACUAUUGGUAAAUAAUAUCCCCCAAAAAUAGCAAUUAAUUUGAUAAUUGGUUAUUUGUUGUUCGAUGGACUGCACUUCUGAUACUUUUCCUGUUCCAACCCUGAUGAAUAAUUCGAAAAGGUUUUGAUUAUCCUCCAUUUGCAUCACUAUUUGAACAACUUUUGUACUCAUGCAGAACAUUCCACACUGCUGUCAAUCACCCUCAUCCAUCCUUGUGUGGGGCUCUCCAGGAGGAGGAGGAAAUCAUUUAUUCAUGACACCCAGCAACCAAAAGCAGCCUUGCUGACUGUUUAUGACUCACAGGAAUGAGGAGGCAGUGGAGAAAAUCAAUCUCUGCAUCCAUGAAAGAAUAAAUGUGAUUUGUGCAGGGUUUUGAUGAGUGAUUGUGACAGACUCAAGUCAGCUCUUCUGCUGCUGCAUCACAGGUAUUAACAUUUUGUCAUACUUGCUCAGGGCAAAGAAAUUCUUUUUCUUCUUCUUUCUUAAAAAAAAAAAGGGGGGGGGGGGACACAGUCUUUUGACAAUUAAUGUGGGCAAACACAGAGAGCUCACCACUGAAGAGUGUGUCAGCUUUAAUAAGAAAUGAAACAAACACGCAUGGGUUGGAUGAGUUCAGACAAAACAGCAGCUGUGUUCAUAGCAACCAUGCACUCAAGGUUUUCAGAUUUGGCAACUUUUGGGCAAAAAUGGAAGAAAAAGAAAACCACCGCAGGAGCAUGUUUAUGAUUGUGUAGUGCUGACAAGUUCAUCUUUACAUUCUUGCAGUCUUGGUAGCUUGUGAACCGGCGUGAAUGAAGAACAGAAAAAUGCCGACCCAUCUAUUUUCUGUAACACAUGCUCAGAAGGGUCGCGGGUGAGCUGGAGGCUAUAAAGCACAUUGAUUUAAACAGCAUUUAAGGAAUAUUUCAUCUUAAAUUGUGCACAAAAUAUGUGCAGUCUUGAAGUGGUUGUUCGACAGAUGGCGCUAUUCCUCUACUCAUUGGAAAACUGAAAUGACCCCGAGGACAACAAAACCCGCAAAAUCGCAAAACUUGACACAUCCUUGAAGAAUCUUUAAUUGCUACACAUAAGUGUACAAUAAUUCUGUGGACAUGAUAAAAAUUUGCGAUGCUGAACGUGCACUUAAGUGCAAUGGAUAAACACAGAGUAAAAUUGACCAUGCACAAAAAAAAAAAAA
Molecule: long non-coding RNA, 1448 nt
Organism: Syngnathus acus (greater pipefish)
Lineage: Eukaryota; Metazoa; Chordata; Actinopteri; Syngnathiformes; Syngnathidae
Exons: 2
Source: RefSeq, a predicted model, not a curated record